This 482-nucleotide ribosomal RNA is filed under the name uncultured bacterium. Its description in RNAcentral is "partial 16S ribosomal RNA". It matches the Rfam family "Bacterial small subunit ribosomal RNA", at positions 28 to 523 of the family's 1533-position model. The record is from RNAcentral.
AAUGAACGUUGGCGGCGUGGAUUAGGCAUGCAAGUCGAGCGAGAACCGUAGCAAUACGGGGACAGCGGCGAAAGGGACAGUAAUGUGUAGGUACCUACCCCCGGGUUCGGGAUAGCUGCGGGAAACUGCAGGUAAUACCGAAUAAUGUCUUCGGACCAAAGGUGUGAUUCCACCUGGGGAGGGGCCUGCAUCCUAUUAGCUUGUUGGUGGGGUAACGGCUUACCAAGGCGACGAUGGGUAGCGGGUGUGAGAGCAUGACCCGCGUCAUUGGGACUGAGACACUGCCCAGACACCUACGGGUGGCUGCAGUCGAGGAUCUUCGGCAAUGGGCGCAAGCCUGACCGAGCGACGCCGCGUGCGGGAUGAAGGCCUUCGGGUUGUAAACCGCUGUCGUAGAGGAGGAAAUGCAGGGGGGUUCUCCCCUUUGCUUGACCUAUUCUAGGAGGAAGUACGGGCUAAGUUCGUGCCAGCAGCCGCCGCAG